UAGCUCAGUGGUAGAGUGCAUGCUUAGCAUGCACAAGGCCCUGGGUUCAAUCCCCAG
Molecule: transfer RNA, 57 nt
Filed under: Camelus bactrianus (Bactrian camel)
Lineage: Eukaryota; Metazoa; Chordata; Mammalia; Artiodactyla; Camelidae
Also listed under: 1 other name
Rfam family: tRNA
About the family: Transfer RNA (tRNA) molecules are approximately 80 nucleotides in length.
Source: Rfam by way of RNAcentral